UGUGGGAGCGAGCCUGCUCGCGAUAGCGGUGUAUCAGGCGCCAUCGAUAUUGUCUGACCUGACGCUAUCGCGAGCAGGCUCGCUCCCACA
RNAcentral lists this unclassified non-coding RNA (90 nucleotides) under Pseudomonas mediterranea. Lineage: Bacteria; Pseudomonadati; Pseudomonadota; Gammaproteobacteria; Pseudomonadales; Pseudomonadaceae. The record is from RNAcentral.